This 889-nucleotide long non-coding RNA is filed under the name Nicotiana benthamiana. RNAcentral's name for it is "long non-coding RNA (NBEN_LNC038506)". The record is from RNAcentral. Lineage: Eukaryota; Viridiplantae; Streptophyta; Magnoliopsida; Solanales; Solanaceae.
AUUACCAAGACAAGAGCAAAACCCUAGUCUUCUUCUUCAUGAGAACAACCAAAAAUCCUAGAAGCCCAGCCGUUGCCCUAACACCGUAACCCCGCCGGACAGCCACCAAACGACCACCCUGAACUCACCGGGAAACAACCAUCCUCCAUAGCCGCUGGAAUCCAAGAACGAACCCCUGGACCCCAAAACAGUCGCUCACCAUCGUCCCCAUCUCCUCACUGUCGACCCCAAUCUCCAGAGCCCCGCCCCAUCUCAGCCAGAAUUCAAACCAGCCUCAAACGUCGUCUUCUGCCUCAGACUGAAGAGAACAAGCAGCGAAACAAGAUCCAUUAGCUGCGGCAGCCAUAAACAAGGAUAGUCGUUACCCUAGGCUUCUUCUUUUUCACAAAGUAUAUAGUAUUAGUACAUACUAAAUAUUUGUCUAUUGGAGCGUUUCAUAGCAAUUGAUACUACCAAAUCUGUGAAUUGUCAGCUUCUGUACAAGCAUUUCCCUAUGCGUCUUUGGUGGAUAUACAAAUUUGUACAUAACUACAUCUUGAGUACCUAACUGUUUAUGUGUUAGUGCGUGUGUAUCUGAAGGAAUCUUUUAACUUCCAUUUCUGUUUCUCUUCACAAAUUCAAGGAUGCACACAAACCUAACUGUUUAUGUGUUAGUGCGUGUGUGUCUGAAGGAAUCUUUUAAUUUUCAUUUCUGUUUCUCUUCACAAAUUCAAGGAUGCACACAAACAAAUGAAAAUAUGAUGUUUUCUUAUAUUUGAGUUAAUUGGCGUUCAAAUUCAAAGAGAAAUACAAAAGAAAAUACAUUUCAAUCUCAUCUUUUGAUUUCAACCCUUUGUUUCGACUCAUGGAGUUUGAACGAGUAGUUAGUGUCGGGUUCGAGUUUUUCGGG